Molecule: ribosomal RNA, 229 nt
Filed under: uncultured bacterium
Lineage: Bacteria
Description: partial 16S ribosomal RNA
Rfam family: Bacterial small subunit ribosomal RNA
Source: RNAcentral
UGAGCAAUCUGCCCUUCUCAUCGGAAUAAGCGUUGGAAACGACGUCUAAUGCCGAAUACGACCUCCUUUCGCAUGAUCGGAGGUGGAAAGCUCCGGCGGAGAAGGAUGAGCUCGCGGCCUAUCAGCUAGUUGGUGUGGGUAAUGGCUCACCAAGGCGACGACGGGUAGCCGGCCUGAGAGGGUGACCGGCCACACUGGGACUGAGACACGGCCCAGACUCCGUAGGAGG